CUGGUACGUAUUUCGAUUAGGAAUGACCAUGGCACGAAAACAACAUCAGAAACCUAAAAGCUUUGUUUGUCAGUUUUUCUUGGGUACAUGCAGACGUCUUAAGACAAAGUUAUUGUUAUGGCUCUGUAAAAUCUCUGAAAAAAGGGUUUGCACUGUGCGUACAUGGGAUGUGGACCGGAGUGCUAAGCGUUUUCGUCUUCCAGUGAUGUGCGAAAGUUUAUUGAAACAGUGAUGACCCAUACAGCCAGGGAGCUGACUACAGUUCCGUGAGAGAAGGAAAAAGCAUGACAAAUAAAUAUGUUUCAUUAGAUAAAAACUUAUAUUUCGUCAA
Long non-coding RNA from Dreissena polymorpha, 331 nucleotides. RefSeq lists it as uncharacterized. NCBI's taxonomy places the organism in Eukaryota, Metazoa, Mollusca, Bivalvia, Myida, Dreissenidae. The transcript is spliced from 2 exons. The record is from RefSeq and is a predicted model, not a curated record.